Molecule: ribosomal RNA, 486 nt
Filed under: Brachioteuthis sp. 2 ARL-2008
Lineage: Eukaryota; Metazoa; Mollusca; Cephalopoda; Oegopsida; Brachioteuthidae
Description: partial 16S ribosomal RNA
Rfam family: Bacterial large subunit ribosomal RNA
Source: RNAcentral
GUCUCUUUGUUUUUUAUAUAUAAAGAGUUGGGCCUGCUCGGUGAACAAUUGUUUUAACAGCUGCGGUAUUUUAACUGUACUAAGGUAGCAUAAUAAUUUGCCUUAUAAUUUGAGGCUAGAAUGAAUGGUUUGACGAAGGUUAAUCUGUCUCUACUUUAUUUUUUAGAAAUUAAUUUUUAAAGUGAAAAAGCUUAUAUUUUUUAAAGGGACGAGAAGACCCUAUUGAGCUUAUAAUUUUAUUAAUUUUAUAUUAUUAUUUAUUAUAGGGUUAUAUAAAUUUUAGUUGGGGUGAUUAAGGAAUAAUUUCAUUAAGUAACUUCCUUGGGUUAAAUAUUGUUGGAUAAAGUAACCAAUAUUAUUGCUUAUAUUAUAGUUACCAUAGGGAUAACAGCGUAAUUUAUUUAGAGAGUUCUUAUUGAAAAAUGAGAUUGCGACCUCGAUGUUGGAUUAAAGUAACCUCAAGGUGCAGAAGCUUGGAAGGUAAAU